CCCUUAGAUGUUCUGGGCUGCACGCGCGCUACACUGAAGCGUUCAACGAGUAUUCACCUUGCCCGGGAGGGUUGGGUAAUCUUUUGAAAACGCUUCGUGAUGGGGAUAGAUUAUUGCAAUUAUUAAUCUUCAACGAGGAAUUCCUAGUAAGCGCGAGUCAUCAGCUCGUGCUGAUUACGUCCCUGCCCUUUGUACACACCGCCCGUCGCUCCCGGAACUGAGCCGUUUCGAGAAGACUGAGGAUUGCUGACUUGAGGCCUUCACGGGCUUCUAGUCGGUGAAAAUCAAUUUAAUCGCAGCGGCUUGAACCGGGCAAAAGUCGUAACA
This 327-nucleotide ribosomal RNA is filed under the name uncultured eukaryote. RNAcentral's name for it is "partial 18S ribosomal RNA". It matches the Rfam family "Eukaryotic small subunit ribosomal RNA", at positions 1470 to 1796 of the family's 1831-position model. The record is from RNAcentral.